CACACACACAAAUAUAAUUUUUAUAUAAAUAGGUACCAUUAAAAAAACAAAAGAGAGGGUUCAGAGAAGGGCUACUAAACGGGUUCAUGGAUUGCGGGAUAAAACUUACCAGGAAAGGUUAAAGGAUUUUAACAUGUAUAGCUUGGAGGAAAGACGAGAGAGGGGGGAUAUGAUAGAAACAUUUAAAUACAUAAAGGGAAUCAACACAGUAAAGGAGGAUACUAUAUUUAAAAGAAGAAAAACUACCACAACAAGAGGACAUACUCUUAAAUUAGAGGGACAAAGGUUUAAAAAUAUUAUCAGGAAGUAUUACUUUACUGAGAGGGUAGUGGAUGCAUGGAAUAGCCUUCCAGCUGAAGUGGUAGAGGUUAACACAGUAAAGGAGUUUAAGCAUGCGUGGGAUAGGCAUAAGGCUAUCCUAACUAUAAGAUAGGGCCAGGGACUAAUGAAAGUAUUUAGAAAAUUGGGCAGACUAGAUGGGCCGAAUGGUUCUUAUCUGCCGUCACAUUCUAUGUUUCU
Pelobates cultripes (western spadefoot toad) is the source of this 519-nucleotide non-coding RNA. NCBI's taxonomy places the organism in Eukaryota, Metazoa, Chordata, Amphibia, Anura, Pelobatidae. The record is from the annotation of a GenBank genome assembly.